This 74-nucleotide transfer RNA is filed under the name Podarcis lilfordi (Lilford's wall lizard). It matches the Rfam family "tRNA". From Rfam's summary of the family: Transfer RNA (tRNA) molecules are approximately 80 nucleotides in length. Their secondary structure includes four short double-helical elements and three loops (D, anti-codon, and T loops). Lineage: Eukaryota; Metazoa; Chordata; Lepidosauria; Squamata; Lacertidae. The record is from Rfam by way of RNAcentral.
GUCUCGAUAGCUCAGCAGGUUAGAGCAUGGGGCCGAUAAUGCCAAGGUUACAGGUUUGAUCCCCGUAUGGGGCA